Molecule: ribosomal RNA, 460 nt
Filed under: uncultured bacterium
Lineage: Bacteria
Description: partial 16S ribosomal RNA
Rfam family: Bacterial small subunit ribosomal RNA
Source: RNAcentral
CCUACGGGAGGCAGCAGUGAGGAAUAUUGGUCAAUGGACGAGAGUCUGAACCAGCCAAGUAGCGUGAAGGAUGACUGCCCUAUGGGUUGUAAACUUCUUUUAUAUGGGAAUAAAAUGUUCCACGUGUGGGAUUUUGUAUGUACCAUAUGAAUAAGGAUCGGCUAACUCCGUGCCAGCAGCCGCGGUAAUACGGAGGAUCCGAGCGUUAUCCGGAUUUAUUGGGGUUAAAGGGAGCGUAGGUGGUGUGUGAAGUCAGUUGUGAAAGUUUGCGGCUCAACCGUAAAAUUGCAGUUGAAACUGGCAGUCUUGAGUACAGUAGAGGUGGGCGGAAUUCGUGGUGUAGCGGUGAAAUGCUUAGAUAUCACGAAGAACUCCGAUUGCGAAGGCAGCUUACUGGACUGCAACUGACACUGAUGCUCGAAAGUGUGGGUAUCAAACAGGAUUAGAUACCCUAGUAGUC